This 131-nucleotide small nucleolar RNA is filed under the name Tursiops truncatus (common bottlenose dolphin). RNAcentral's name for it is "Small nucleolar RNA SNORA22 (ENSTTRG00000025168.1)". The record is from RNAcentral. Lineage: Eukaryota; Metazoa; Chordata; Mammalia; Artiodactyla; Delphinidae.
AUGCUUAAAAAUGGUUAAGACGGCUUUAUAGUUUCUUUCGCUUUGACACUGUGCUAAAGCAGUCUGUUCUUUUCCUAUAAAUUUAAUGGACUAUUUAGCCUCUUAAGUGUAUUCAGAAAGUCAGCACAUUA